This 601-nucleotide ribosomal RNA is filed under the name Zophoscolex eurytrichos. RNAcentral's name for it is "partial large subunit ribosomal RNA". It matches the Rfam family "Bacterial large subunit ribosomal RNA", at positions 1858 to 2826 of the family's 2925-position model. Lineage: Eukaryota; Metazoa; Annelida; Clitellata; Crassiclitellata; Lumbricidae. The record is from RNAcentral.
CCUGCCCAGUGACAUAGUUCAACGGCCGCGGUAUCCUAACCGUGCAAAGGUAGCAUAAUCACUUGCCCAUUAAUUGUGGGCUAGAAUGAAAGGACUAACGAAAUAAAAGCUGUCUCUAUAAGAAAUAUGUAAAUUAAUCUCUAACUGAAGAGUGUUAGAUAAAAUCGAAGGACAAGAAGACCCUAUAGAGCUUUAUUUUUAUAAAGACACACACUUUAAAUAAAUUCGGUUGGGGCGACCUGGGAUAUUAAUAAACACCCCCAAUAAAAAGAUAAAUAAAUCUAAAUAAAGACCCUAAAAAGAUCACCAAAACAAGCUACCUUAGGGAUAACAGGCUAAUCCCACUAGAGAGUCCUUAUUUAUAGUGGGGGUUGGCACCUCGAUGUUGGCUUAGGGAAACUCUGUGGCGCAAAAGUCACAUAAAGAUGGUUUGUUCAACCAAUAAAACCCUACAUGAGCUGAGUUCAGACCGGCGUAAGCCAGGUUAGUUUCUAUCCUCGAUAAACAAAUCUACCCGUAGUACGAAAGGACCCGGGCAUGAAUAAUUAUUAUACAUAAAGAAUAAAUUUAAUAUUAAAUAAUUAACAUACAACAUAAACUA